This 509-nucleotide ribosomal RNA is filed under the name uncultured bacterium. Its description in RNAcentral is "partial 16S ribosomal RNA". The record is from RNAcentral.
GGAGUUAGCCGGUGCUUCUUCUGUGAGUGAUGUCCUUCCUGCCGGCUAUUAACCCGCAGGCCUUCUUCCUCACUGAAAGUGCUUUACAACCCGAAGGCCUUCUUCACACACGCGGCAUGGCUGGAUCAGGGUUGCCCCCAUUGUCCAAUAUUCCCCACUGCUGCCUCCCGUAGGAGUCUGGGCCGUGUCUCAGUCCCAGUGUGGCUGAUCAUCCUCUCAGACCAGCUACGGAUCGUCGCCUUGGUGAGCCGUUACCUCACCAACCAGCUAAUCCGACAUAGGCUCAUCCGAUAGCGCGAGGCCCGAAGGUCCCCCGCUUUCCCCCGUAGGGCGUAUGCGGUAUUAGCCUGGGUUUCCCCCAGGUUAUCCCCCACUACCGGGCAGAUUCCUAUGCAUUACUCACCCGUCCGCCGCUCGCCACCAGGGAGCAAGCUCCCCGUGCUGCCGCUCGACUUGCAUGUGUUAGGCGUCGCCGCCACGCGUCAUCUGAGCCAUGAUACAACUACUGA